UACGGAGGAUGCAAGCGUUAUCCGGAUUUAUUGGGCGUAAAGCGUCCGCAGGUGGCUAUUCAAGUCUGCUGUCAAAGCUCGGAGCUUAACUCCGAAUCGGCGGUGGAAACUGAACAGCUAGAGUGCAGUAGGGGUAGAGGGAAUUCCCAGUGUAGCGGUGAAAUGCGUAGAGAUUGGGAAGAACACCGGUGGCGAAAGCGCUCUACUGGACUGCAACUGACACUCAGGGACGAAAGCUAGGGGAGCGAAAGGG
This 253-nucleotide ribosomal RNA is filed under the name uncultured bacterium. RNAcentral describes it as "partial 16S ribosomal RNA". It matches the Rfam family "Bacterial small subunit ribosomal RNA", at positions 524 to 776 of the family's 1533-position model. The record is from RNAcentral.